This 445-nucleotide ribosomal RNA is filed under the name uncultured bacterium. Its description in RNAcentral is "partial 16S ribosomal RNA". It matches the Rfam family "Bacterial small subunit ribosomal RNA", at positions 354 to 796 of the family's 1533-position model. The record is from RNAcentral.
GUAGGGAAUAUUGGGCAAUGGAGGCAACUCUGACCCAGCCAUGCCGCGUGCAGGAUGACGGCCCUCUGGGUUGUAAACUGCUUUUAUACGGGAAGAAAAAAUACUACGUGUAGUAUACUGACGGUACCGUAAGAAUAAGGAUCGGCUAACUCCGUGCCAGCAGCCGCGGUAAUACGGAGGAUCCAAGCGUUGUCCGGAUUUAUUGGGUUUAAAGGGUGCGUAGGCGGAUCUUUAAGUCAGUGGUGAAAGCCUGCAGCUUAACUGUAGAAAUGCCAUUGAAACUGAAGAUCUUGAAUGUGGUUAAAGUAGGCGGAAUGUAUCAUGUAGCGGUGAAAUGCUUAGAUAUGAUACAGAACACCGAUAGCGAAGGCAGCUUGCUGAACCAUUAUUGACGCUGAGGCACGAAAGCGUGGGGAGCGAACAGGAUUAGAUACCCUUGUAGUCC